RNAcentral lists this ribosomal RNA (253 nucleotides) under uncultured bacterium. RNAcentral describes it as "partial 16S ribosomal RNA". It matches the Rfam family "Bacterial small subunit ribosomal RNA", at positions 524 to 776 of the family's 1533-position model. The record is from RNAcentral.
UACGUAGGGUGCGAGCGUUGUCCGGAAUUAUUGGGCGUAAAGAGCUUGUAGGCGGUUUGUCGCGUCUGCCGUGAAAAUCCGAGGCUCAACCUCGGACUUGCGGUGGGUACGGGCAGACUAGAGUGUGGUAGGGGAGACUGGAAUUCCUGGUGUAGCGGUGAAAUGCGCAGAUAUCAGGAGGAACACCGAUGGCGAAGGCGGCAUUCUGGACCAUAACUGACACUGAGAGACGAAAGCCAGGGGAGCAAACGGG